AACGAACGCUGGCGGCAGGCUUAACACAUGCAAGUCGAACGAAGUCUUCGGACUUAGUGGCGCACGGGUGAGUAACACGUGGGAAUAUACCUCUUGGUGGGGAAUAACAUCGGGAAACUGAUGCUAAUACCGCAUACGCCCUUCGGGGAAGGAUUAUUCGCCGAGAGAUUAGCCGCGUCCGAUUAGCUAGUUGGUGAGGUAAUGGCUCACCAAGGCGACGAUCGGUAGCUGGUCUGAGAGGAUGAUCAGCCACACUGGGACUGAGACACGGCCCAGACUCCUACGGGAGGCAGCAGUGGGGAAUAUUGGACAAUGGGCGAAAGCCUGAUCCAGCCAUGCCGCGUGAGUGAAGAAGGCC
This 358-nucleotide ribosomal RNA is filed under the name uncultured bacterium. RNAcentral describes it as "bacterial SSU rRNA". It matches the Rfam family "Bacterial small subunit ribosomal RNA", at positions 29 to 416 of the family's 1533-position model. The record is from RNAcentral.